UAUCAUCUCAGCUCUGGUUUC
Molecule: non-coding RNA, 21 nt
Filed under: Arabidopsis thaliana (thale cress)
Lineage: Eukaryota; Viridiplantae; Streptophyta; Magnoliopsida; Brassicales; Brassicaceae
Source: RNAcentral